UGUAAGCGUAUACCAAAGUUGUUGCGGUUAAAACGCUCGUAGUCGGACUUUGGCAGUUCCGGAUGUGUGCACGUCGUGUGCGCACUUCGCGGGGAUUGCUUUUGUGGUCUUGCGUAGGAUGAGGCACUUUUAUUAGUGAACGUCCUCACGCAACCACUUUUUACUGUGAGAAAAUCAGAGUGCUCAAAGCAGGCAUUUGCCGUGAAUGUAUUAGCAUGGAAUAAUAGAAUAGGACUUGGUUCUAUUUUGUUGGUUUGUUGGGACUGAGUAAUGAUUAAGAGGGACAGUUGGGGGCAUUUGUAUUUCGGUGCUAGAGGUGAAAUUCUUAGAUUACCGAAAGACAAACUGCUGCGAAAGCGUCUGCCAAGGAUGUUUUCAUUGA
This 382-nucleotide ribosomal RNA is filed under the name uncultured eukaryote. RNAcentral's name for it is "partial 18S ribosomal RNA". It matches the Rfam family "Eukaryotic small subunit ribosomal RNA", at positions 592 to 976 of the family's 1831-position model. The record is from RNAcentral.